Molecule: long non-coding RNA, 2579 nt
Filed under: Marmota monax (woodchuck)
Lineage: Eukaryota; Metazoa; Chordata; Mammalia; Rodentia; Sciuridae
Source: RNAcentral
UGUCUGAAAGAGGUUUCAUAUUUCUAAACAUAAUCUGACUGUGCAAUGCAGGCAAUCUUUUCAAGUUUCUCCAGGAAUCCAAUGGUUUAUUGUUAACCCCCCUCUGCUCAUCUCUUUCCUCUACCUGAACACAUUAUCUGUACUAAGCACAUUCUGUAUAUAACACAUGCUUCUUCAUUCUGAGGCUGGGGGUGACACGGAUGAAGACCCAUGACGGUGAGUGGCCCUCUUAAGCCCAUGGGAAUAGGUGGAAAAGAUGUUUCAAGGUACCUUUUUGAGAUGUGAAUUUGUAUUUUGUCACUAUUUUUUCUUCCUUUGUAUUCAGGCACUUGAUCAAGCCUUAGCGUUCUUUAGCUUCUGGGUACUUUGCAAAGCAGAAGGUGGCUUGCAGUCAAAGACUCUUCUUGUCUUUCCUAAAAGUAUAAAUGGUACUAAAGGGUUUGGAGGAGAGGAGGAAGAGGAGUCCCUUUGAAAUCGAGUAAGCAGGUAAGUGUCCCACCUGUGGAGGGUCUGAGAUGAGAACCCAGGCAGCUGUUGGCAACAUCCCAAUGAGAGGCAGAACCACACAGAGGCUGGCUUAGUUUCCCUUUUCCAAGUGCCAGUCUUGCCUUCCUCCCUCCCUGCCCCCAUCAUGCUUUCUGGAGCACCUGCUGUGGACAGCACUAGGAAGUACAGAUGCCACAGGGAGUAAGUGGUGGAUCUUACCCUGCUGGCACCACAGUCUCAGGGGGGAAAUGAUUAUAAGGUAGUGUGCUACUUCCCAAGACAGAAAUAUGACCAAGGUAAUGGGGGAAGAUGGAGAAAGAGAUGUCAGUCCCAGAAGCCUAGUUACUCCCUUUCUUCGGUGAGUUCUUUCUUAAUUUCCAAGGUCUGGUUCACUCCUGAGCCCUCAUCUCCACCAUCCUCUGGCCCUUUGUUCUUCGGAUGAGAUUUCUAGUUUCUGUGUUUUCAUCUCUUUGAUACCCAGAGGAAUUUGUCACGGGUCUGUUUUUGUCCUCCGCUUUUCUCUAAAUUUUAUAAACGUAGGCAACAAAGGAAUUUAUUGAACAGUAUAUGAGUAGCUCAUAGAUUCAGGUAGAAGGGAAAACACAGACUUGGAAAAUGGCUAGGCAGAAGUCAGGUUCCCACUUUAACCCUAGUGCAGCCCUGCUAUAAAUCACGUCUUGACUCAUUCUUCAACAGAAUCUCUCCUGGAAAAGUCCUGAGCAGAAGCAUCAAAUUGCCCAAUGGAUGGAUGCUCACACCCCAGUCUCUAGAGGGCAGAAGUGGAUUCUUGCUCCAGUAGUGAGAAGUGGGGUCCUGCAGCCACGGAACCCACACAAAUGGGGAGUUGUUUGGAUGCUGAAUGUAGAAACAAUUCCCCUCCAGCUGUCAUUCGCCUGCAUUUUAUCAGGAAGUCAAAAUUCAUCCCAAUUUAACAACUACAGUUCUCAUCUUCUGCCUUGUUUGCAUCCUGUCUUUUGAGGGGCAUUCAGGGUCUUCCUCUUGGACGCUUCAGGCCUCACCCAAAACUAUAGGUACAAAAUGGAGAUUUGCUCCCUCUGAUCCCCCACAAUUCUGACCCUUGGGCUUCUGGAAUCUUCCAGGAAUCUCCCACCCUUAGCAGGGAGCCCAGGAGACUUCAGACUAAUCACGGCCGUUCUGUUUGAGAAACAAGAUUUCCAUUCACUACAAAUGCCUGUCAACCUUUUCUCUGCCAUCUCUUCAAGCUUCCCUUUUCCCUAAAACAACAUGCCUUCCCGUUUUCGAGCCAUUUUCUCCUGGUUGUUGCCUGUACCAAUCACCUGUCCCUUCAUCACUAGCAUGGAACUUCUUCCUGGCAUCUGCACUUAUUCUGUGGACAUGACAUCUGGGAUAUAAGAGAAACCGCUCUCUACUCUCUGCUUCCCUUCAGAUUUGGCUGCACUGUCAGAAAUGGUUUCUGCGGGGGUGGAGGGUGUGGAGUAAGAGAACUGGAAAGGCACAGGUCAGUUAGAGUGGGUGGCAACUGAAUGGUAGGUGCCUGAUGCAAACUAGCCUGCAUCCUGACCUCUUUAUCUUCUGUUUCUGCAACACAGAAGCCUUUGCCAACAUGGCUUUGCUCAGGUCAUGCCACAGCUAAAGCCAGUAGUCUGAGUGGUCUCCCAGUCUGCUGGAGAGAUGCUCUGCAAUCAUGUGUUGAGCUGCACCUGUGGUGGACACUUACUCCCUCAUUUGGGCACUUGAUGAUCAUGCCUUUCUGACCUUUUUUUUUUUUCAAAUUUGAUGGCGUAAUAUAAAAUUAUUCUAAAGAGUCAGUAUGGAGGUGUUAUGGUUUGGAUGUGGGUGUCCUCCAAAAGCUCACAUGUGAGACAAUUCAAGAAGGUUUGGAGGAGAAAUGAUUGGGUUACAGCCUUUAUCUAAUCAAUGAAUUAAUCCCUGAUGGAAUUAAGUGGGUGGUGACUGGAGGCAAGUGGGGUGUGACUGAAGGAAGUGGUUCUUUGGGGGCAUAGCUAUGGGGUGGUAUAUAUUUUGUAUCUGGAAAUUGGAGACUCUCUCUCUUUCUGCCUUCUGAUGACCAUGUGAGCUGUUUCUCUUUGCCAACUCUUCAGCCAUGAUGU